UGACCUCAAAUCAGGUAGGACUACCCGCUGAACUUAAGCAUAUCAAUAAGCGGAGGAAAAGAAACUAACAAGGAUUCCCCUAGUAACUGCGAGUGAAGCGGGAAAAGCUCAAAUUUAAAAUCUGGCAGUCUUUGACUGUCCGAGUUGUAAUCUAGAGAGGUGAUUUCGGCGCUGGACCGUGUACAAGUCUCCUGGAAUGGAGCGUCAUAGAGGGUGAGAAUCCCGUCUCUGACACGGGCUGCCAGGGCUUUGUGAAGCACUCUCAAAGAGUCGAGUUGUUUGGGAAUGCAGCUCAAAAUGGGUGGUAAAUUCCAUCUAAAGCUAAAUAUUGGCGAGAGACCGAUAGCGAACAAGUACCGUGAGGGAAAGAUGAAAAGAACUUUGGAAAGAGAGUUAAACAGUACGUGAAAUUGCUGAAAGGGAAACGCUUGAAGUCAGUCGCGUUGUCCAGGGAUCAACCUUGCUUUUGCUUGGUGUACUUUCUGGUUGACGGGUCAGCAUCAAUUUUGACUAUUGGAAAAAAAUCAGGGAAAUGUGGCAUCUUUGGAUGUGUUAUAGUCCUUGGUUGUAUAC
Molecule: ribosomal RNA, 573 nt
Filed under: Cortinarius subtortus
Lineage: Eukaryota; Fungi; Basidiomycota; Agaricomycetes; Agaricales; Cortinariaceae
Description: eukaryotic LSU rRNA
Rfam family: Eukaryotic large subunit ribosomal RNA
Source: RNAcentral